RNAcentral lists this transfer RNA (96 nucleotides) under compost metagenome. RNAcentral's name for it is "tRNA-Ser". The record is from RNAcentral.
GGCGCCCUGCUGAUCGGGGCGCGGUCGCUGGAUUUCGAACGUCUGGUUCUGGCGACGGGCGCCGGGAGCCAUCUGUUCGACACCGCCGGGGCGGCG